This is a long non-coding RNA of Bos taurus (domestic cattle), 428 nucleotides long. Lineage: Eukaryota; Metazoa; Chordata; Mammalia; Artiodactyla; Bovidae. The record is from Ensembl.
UUGCAUCACCUCACAUUGUGUCCAGAACCAACUGUGAUUUUCCCAGGUGAUGCUGAGGCCGCUAGUUCUGGGAGCACUUUUUGAGAAAAGGAGUGAAGAAGUGGUUGGUCCAAAGGGUAAAGAGAUGAGCCAAAGUCCUUAGGUUGAGAGUAACAAGCGCCUGCUGUAAGGAGCCAUAGGGCUAACUGGACCGGAGUGCUGGGCCUCCCAGAGGCGGGCCACACCAGCUUCAGUAACAGCGCAUCUCUCCAUAAAACGCCACCCCUGAGUUAAUGAAAAGAGCACUAAAACAACAGUGGCCCCACAAAGGGCAGCCUGACAACGACCACUGCGUGUUGGCUGAGCUUUCUGGGCCCCUGUGUGUAAAGGCAAGCCCGGAGGUCUCCAGGGCACUAGAAAGGGCAGUGUGGCCUUCCCAGCGUCAGGGA